Molecule: long non-coding RNA, 1812 nt
Organism: Gallus gallus (chicken)
Lineage: Eukaryota; Metazoa; Chordata; Aves; Galliformes; Phasianidae
Exons: 2
Source: RefSeq, a predicted model, not a curated record
GAGGACUUUGCAUUGUUCUGCUUCUGUUUUCUGUUCAGAGGGAAAAGACAAAACAAUUCAUAUAUCACGAGACGUUCCCUCUUUUCCCUUCUGCUCGGCCUGGAUGGACGACCUUCCUCAGCAUUAGAGAUUGUUCCCAGCAGGCAUUUUCUACAUACUUGGUCCAGGUCAUGGGAGAUACUCUUUUCUGUGCUUCUUCUCUCCAAGUAGGGAAGAAAGCAUUCCUACUAGAUCUCUCAUGUACUGAAGAAGAGAAUGAAGACUAGAAGAGCUCAUACUGACUCUGAGUCUAGCUUGUAAAAACAAAACGGCAUUGAAAAUGGUAACUUAUUGGAAAAUGGAGAAGUGGAAUGCAAUAAUAUACUUUAUCCUGUUACAAUUAAGAUCAUUAAUGAUAAAGAAGAGAGAUUUCUAAAAACAAAGACUGUCACAAGCCAUGCUACAAGUCAACUGUGGCACCUAAAGCUAACAACACAAUUAACCCAUUCCUCUGCAUAACCAUGAAGUAUGUCAUUGUUCAUGAGCAGGAAUUACUUCUUCCCCAAUAACCUGACAGACAGGAAAAACAAACAGAGUCUGCAAUAGAAUUAUGGAGUGAAUCAGUCUCAUUUUACACUUCAGCAGCCUCCAAUUGCUUUGCAAGAGUGAUAAUCACAUGGACUAAAGAACUAAGAGAACUAGCCUCAAAGGACAUUGCAAUCAAUUUCCUGCUAAAUAAAAUGUGUUUAUCAGUGAUGUUCAUGGGAAAAGUGUCUAUGGAUGCUAACAGCAAUUUAGCCUGCAAAAUGGGAGCUCACACAUUUCCAUCUGUGGCUAUGGACCCUGGAAAUGCAGGUGGUAUAAGAAACCUCAGGUGAACCGUUUGACAAAGAAUUUUAACAUGGUGGGAAGAAGUGGAGCUGAGAUAACAAAGAAGCAAGUGAAGCGUCUUUAUUUUAAGAGUUUUUGGGGAUAACUCUGAAGUAGAUUAGGGUAAAUAGUUUCAGCUAAAAUAUAAAUGUAGCUGAAAAUGUAGGCUAAUCAAAGCUGGAUGUUUUCUGAAGUGAUUCCAGGUCCACCAGUUAAAGAUUAAAUAUUUCUUUAUUGAUGUAAAAUCUUUUUCAUUUUAAUAUUUACAUUUCCUUCAGUUUUGUUUUUAAAAAGUUAUUAUUUUCCUGAGAUUAAUUAUUGAUGAGAUAGCUUUCUUGUUAAAACUGAAAAAAAAAAUCACCUCAAAAUAUAUAUUUUUUUAGAAUUAACAGAAAACUUAGAAAACAAUUCUAGUUCUGUUGAAAGUAGAUGUGAUUCAUGUGGUAAAAAUUCCAUUGAGUUCAGCCAAUUCCAUUGAUUUUCACUGACUGGAAAGGUUUGUAAGUAUUUAGUAAAAGAAUAACAAUCUCUUUUUGAUUCUAUAGUUAUACUAAACCUCUGAAAAAGGUUCAAUCUUUCAAAGGAAAGUAAUCCAAAGUUAAAAAUAGAGAAAAUAAAAUACCAGUUAUUAGCCUGAUUUCCACUAAACGCUAUUUCAAAAUGGAGGGAAAGACAUCGCAUUUAAAAAUCUGCAAAAUUACACAUCUCAGUUGUCUCAUGUGGAACACGGAAUUACUCGAUGAAUAAUGGUAUAAGUAAAAUAAUAAGUAUUUCUUCAGAAAAUAGAGAUGUGUAAAUAUAUUAGAAAUAUAUUUAGAGAAGUGUGAAAUAAACCAGCACUACCUUCUGAGUUUAUCUUAUGAUGAUCAUUUAUUCCAGUAAGAAAGAAAUAUUUCAUUUGAAAUGUAUUGUUGAAUUUUAACGUGAUAUAAUAAAUUGCUUCUUUGUGUUGUAUUAUUUUUA